RNAcentral lists this ribosomal RNA (253 nucleotides) under uncultured bacterium. RNAcentral's name for it is "partial 16S ribosomal RNA". It matches the Rfam family "Bacterial small subunit ribosomal RNA", at positions 524 to 776 of the family's 1533-position model. The record is from RNAcentral.
UACGGAGGGUGCGAGCGUUGUCCGGAAUCACUGGGCGUAAAGGGCGCGUAGGCGGCUUCUCAAGCGUGUGGUGAAAGUCCGGGGCUCAACCCCGGAUCGGCCGUGCGGACUGGGGAGCUCGAGUUCUGUAGAGGCGGGUGGAAUUCCGGGUGUAGCGGUGGAAUGCGUAGAGAUCCGGAAGAACACCGGUGGCGAAGGCGGCCCGCUGGGCAGAGACUGACGCUGAGGCGCGAAAGCUAGGGGAGCAAACGGG